GAUGAACGCUGGCGGCGUGCCUAAUACAUGCAAGUCGAGCGAACAGAUGAGGAGCUUGCUCCUCUGACGUUAGCGGCGGACGGGUGAGUAACACGUGGAUAACCUACCUAUAAGACUGGGAUAACUUCGGGAAACCGGAGCUAAUACCGGAUAAUAUAUUGAACCGCAUGGUUCAAUAGUGAAAGACGGUUUUGCUGUCACUUAUAGAUGGAUCCGCGCCGCAUUAGCUAGUUGGUAAGGUAACGGCUUACCAAGGCCACGAUGCGUAGCCGACCUGAGAGGGUGAUCGGCCACACUGGAACUGAGACACGGUCCAGACUCCUACGGGAGGCAGCAGUAGGGAAUCUUCCGCAAUGGGCGAAAGCCUGACGGAGCAACGCCGCGUGAGUGAUGAAGGUCUUCGGAUCGUAAAACUCUGUUAUUAGGGAAGAACAAAUGUGUAAGUAACUAUGCACGUCUUGACGGUACCUAAUCAGAAAGCCACGGCUAACUACGUG
Molecule: ribosomal RNA, 497 nt
Filed under: uncultured bacterium
Lineage: Bacteria
Description: partial 16S ribosomal RNA
Rfam family: Bacterial small subunit ribosomal RNA
Source: RNAcentral